RNAcentral lists this ribosomal RNA (275 nucleotides) under uncultured bacterium. RNAcentral describes it as "partial 16S ribosomal RNA". It matches the Rfam family "Bacterial small subunit ribosomal RNA", at positions 523 to 796 of the family's 1533-position model. The record is from RNAcentral.
AUACGGAGGGUGCAAGCGUUAUUCGGAAUCACUGGGCGUAAAGGACGCGUAGGCGGGUUGGCAAGUCAGAUGUGAAAUCCUACAGCUUAACUGUAGAACUGCAUUUGAAACUGCUAACCUAGAGUAUGGGAAGGGGGAGAUGGAAUUAGUGGUGUAGGGGUAAAAUCCGUAGAUAUCACUAGGAAUACCGAAAGCGAAGGCGAUCUCCUGGAACAUAACUGACGCUAAGGCGUGAAAGCGUGGGGUGCAAACAGGAUUAGAUACCCUAGUAGUCC